RNAcentral lists this long non-coding RNA (469 nucleotides) under Homo sapiens (human). Its description in RNAcentral is "non-protein coding lnc-DAPP1-2:2". Lineage: Eukaryota; Metazoa; Chordata; Mammalia; Primates; Hominidae. The record is from RNAcentral.
GGGAGGGAAGAAACAGAGCGAGCUACGCUGCAGGAGCGCAGUUACCAGCCGGCUGCGAUCACGUGCCUGGGAGGAGGAGCUGAGACCUCAGGGGAGGGGCGCGCGGUAGCGUCCCGGGUCCCCUAGCAGGGCUCUAGAGACCACGUGAAGUCUCCUCGGAGCUGGUGUAGUGAAGGAUGAAGAGAAGGCAAUGCAUUGGUUUAGACAAGCCUCCCAGCAGGACCAUCCUGGUGCUGCCUUUAACCUUGCAGUAGGAACACUGAAAAACAUGACUGCCUCCAUGGAAGCAGGGGAUGUAGAAAUGCUCCUUAAUGUUGCUGCAAAAUGGGGGAUCCAAGAAGCCCAAGAACUUCUGGAGAAUGUUAUUUGGACUAAAAGCAAGCUCUUGCCAACUGAAAGAACCAGGAGUUCUUAUAAACCAUAAUGUGUGCCUGCAUGCUCUUCCUGGAACAUGGGAUGUUCUGCUCUC